This 29-nucleotide non-coding RNA is filed under the name Rattus norvegicus (Norway rat). The record is from RNAcentral. Lineage: Eukaryota; Metazoa; Chordata; Mammalia; Rodentia; Muridae.
UGUAACAUCUCAGUAACUACCCCUAAAAU